Molecule: long non-coding RNA, 4891 nt
Organism: Epinephelus fuscoguttatus (brown-marbled grouper)
Lineage: Eukaryota; Metazoa; Chordata; Actinopteri; Perciformes; Serranidae
Exons: 4
Source: RefSeq, a predicted model, not a curated record
AAACCUCGUAGAAGAAGAAGAAGAAGAAGAAGAAGAAAAAUCACGGCUCAUCCGGUCAUGGCUGCGCACAGAACCUGUCAAUGCUUGACGCUGUGGUCAAACGGCUCCCUGGCUGUGCAGCUGCUCCCUGCAGACCUCAGGAUCUUCCUUCAGCACAAACACUCAGCAUUCCAACUGUCUUUCAUUACAAGUUUGUUCAUUGUUUAGUCGGACCAGUGGUCAUGGACUAUUUGUUCUUGGUUCUACAACAACAGCUGGAGCAGCACAUCCCAGGACAGCAGUAACCCCUGCCUAAUGCUCACUUUCUAUAAGGCAUUGAGCAAUCCCCCAUGCAGCACUGGUGGCCAUUCCUCCAUCUGUGAGAAGAACUCCAAUGUCCCUGAGUCAAUUUAUUUCUCUGCAUGACAGAACAUUUAAGGGAGGUUCAUAGUGACAUGACAACGUGAAGACGAUACAUUCAGAAGGAGACAGAGGCUACCAUUAGCCUUCAUGUUACACACUUUUUGCUGUUACUAUGGCACACAUCUCCUUCAGCAUCUUGUUUGAGUCAUGGGACUCACAUGAUUGAAGCUCCUUAAAGCUCUGUUAUUUAUCAAAGCAGUCUGAAACUAUUUAGUUUGAGAGUCUGCUCACACAUGUGUUUGAUCAAUCGAAAUGAUCAGUCGAGCUCUUUGGUUUCAGGCUCCAAGUACCAGACUCUCAUAAUGGAAUUUGCAAACAGACUUUCGUAUGCCCCCCUGUAGCCGAUUACUGGAUAUAAACUCUUUGCGUUUCUGGGAGUUUUGUGGCAGAAUAUCCAAGGACUGCAUAGGGAAACUCAGAUCCUGCAUCUGAACACAUGCAUGGGUUGGGUUGCAUACAUGGCCUACAGUUCCUCGGGAGAGAGCUACUGCCUCAAGUAUCUCUGGGUCUUGUUCAUGACUCAGAGUAGAAUGGAGCGAGAGAUGGAUCGGCGGUUUGUGUGUGGCAUCUGCAGUGAUGGGGGUGCUGCACCAGACCAUUGUGGUGAAGAGGGAGCUGAGCCAAAAGGCAAAGCUUUCAGUUUACUGGUUCAUCUACGUCCCAACCCUCACCUAUGGUCAUGAGCUCUGGGUAGUGACCGAAUGAGGUUGUGGAUACAAGCUGCCGAAAUUAGUUUCCUCCGUGGGGUGGAUGGGCUCAGCCUUAGAGAUAGGGUAAGAACCACAGACAUCUGGAGCGAGCUCAGAGUAGAGCCGCUGCUCUCCCGCGGGGUCAGUUGAGGUGGUUCGGGCAUCUGAUCAGGAUGCCUCUUGGGCAUCUCCUAUUAGAGGUGUUUCGGGCAUGUUCCACUGGUAGGAGGCCCCAGGGCAGACCCAGAACACGCUGGAGGGAUUACAUAUCUCGUCUGGCCCGGGAACGCUUUUGGGUCCCCCAGGAGGAGCUGGAAAGCGUUGCUGGGGAGAGGGACGUCUGGGGUGCUUGGCUUGGCCUGCUGCCCCCGCGACCCGGCCCUGGAUAAAAAGAUGAAAAUGGAUGGAUGGAUGAUAAACAUAAAGAGACAUUACAAGAAAUGUAUGAUUUCAAAAUGGACUGACAAAAUGAAAUCUCCUAGAUAAUUUCAAUCAGAGAAAUCCAAAGAUAAUCCUGGCAACGUUUUGGGAUGGUUGGCCCAAAGGUUUCUGAAGAGUUCUCGUAAAUAAGAAAAUAGCCAAGCCAUAUUUGAGCUCAUGACUAAAAUAUAAACUUGAGUGUGUCAGCGCCAUCUUUAGGUCAAAUGAGUGUCAGUGGGUGGAAUUAGCAACCCACUUGCCAUUUUUGGUGACUUUGCUGAGCCAACACUUUUAGCAGAGGCAAACAAAAAGACAGAAAAAAAGAAAAAAGACAGAAUAAUGAGAACAAAGACAACAGGGCUCCAGCAGCAAGCAUCACUGCUUGGACUCCUGACAAGACAUAUUUUGGUUGGCUGAGGAAGCACUUAAUUUAGGAUCUACAGCAGGGGUGUUGAACACAUGGCCCGUGGGCCAGAACCAGCCCGCCAAAGGGUCCAAUCCGGCCCACUAGCUGACUAAACUAAGGGGUGUCAGGUUUCAGGAGCAAGUUAAACAAUGCCUACUUCAGGUAAACUUCUGCUCUCUGAUAUAACAAUGAAUACUUACUGUGACCGUGUUUAAAGUUACUGAACAUUGUGCAAAAUAUUGUCAACCAGCAGCUUCAGUUCAAAAUAAUCUGUAUCAAGAAAUGUGUGGAUAAUGUGUGUGUCUGUACCACACACUCUGACCAAGCUGCCAUAUUUGACGCUUGGGGAUGAGAACAGGCUGGUCCUUCACUGCAGGGCACAGAGAGUGUGUCCUCGCACGUUGUUUUACAGACACUGUUUUUUUGGGUUUUUUUUUCUAUUUGCUGAGUCACUGAUUAUCAGAUAACCUCUCAUUCUGAUCCAGGAUCUGCUACAGAACUUGUUCACAGAUAAGAGCCGCUCUUGUAUCUGAUCCAACCAGAGGACACGUGGAGAAAACGUCUGCUGAGGCAAGAAGGGAAGAUCAAUAUUAAGCAGCAGCAUGUUAAUGACUUUAACUUGGUUGCAUUGCAACUCUUAUAUAUGGCAUUACAGAUUUUAAGGACACCAGAGCUUAUGUGAUGAAUCCACACAUCCAAGCACUCCCCAUCAGAGUAAGAAUUACAACAGGAAACCUGAUAUCAUUUGGACAAUCUGAGUUAUGUGUUUUCCAGUCUGAGAUACACACUGAGGAAUAUGUUGAAUGUGGCAGCUGCUUUGUGCCAUCGGACUUUGGUUUAUUUUCCUAAUAACAAAACAAGAUGAGCCAAUAUUUAAGCGAGUACAAACAUGCCUGUAAUGAGUAUCUAAAUACUUUGUAUUUCACACAGGAAAAAAAAGGGUUGUAAAAUCUUAAUUAUUUAGCAUAUUUUUAAAGAUAUAUGUGGCUCACUCUCAAUGGCUUUCAUUACCAGGGAGACCAUUAGGCUGUCGUUAAAUGAAGUAAAAUGGACCUUUUCCUUCUUUAAUUAUUUAGCUCGGUUUUAAUAUUAAGGAAUGAUGCUUUCAUGUUUUUGAAACAAUUAUACAGUUUAUAUUAUAGGGCUUGUUAAUGGUUUGUGCAGUUUUGUGACUUAUUUGCUUCUGCAUCUUCAUUUUUCAACAUUGUUUUUUUACACUCUGCAUGAUUUGCCCAGGAAGCUCAUUUCAGAUGAGAUAAAACAGUGUGUAAUAGUCUCAUUUGGCCAACUGAGGGCACUAUGUAGCCACUGCUCUUAUAGCUGGAAGGCGAUACGCCACAGGAGGAAUGAUUAUGUAUACAUAUUUGUUCUCAAACUGCAGCACCAAUUGCCAAAUAUUUUGGAAGUUAAAGAGGAAGACAUGUGCCUCCCUGUUUGUCUGUCUUCCCUCUCAUUUUUACUCUUCUCUUGCAAUUAUCUCUCCAAUAUUUCCCAACUCUCAAACUUUUCUUUUUCUUGUGCCUCCCUUUAUCUCUGUUCCUUUCUUUCUUUCCUCAGCCUCUCUCAGGUACAUUUGCUUUCCUCUCAGGGCCGUCUUCCUCAAGCAGUAAGGCCAGGUGGUGUUGUGCACGUUCCUGCCACCUGUUGCUUCGUCCUCAGCGUCACACCGUGUCCAUGAUGCUGCUUUGGUCCCUCCUCCCUCUGGAUGAAGAUCAUCAGUUAGGCCCUGUCUACAUGUAUACAGAUCUAUCUUCCCCAUCAGUUUUAAAAAUAAUUCUGUCCACUCAAGCUUUGUUUUCCAAAAUAUCGCUGUCCACACGAGAACGCAAAAUCGACUCCAAACCUUUGUCGGUGGUAGCUAUUGUCAGCAGCCUAACUCAUCACAAAAGUGUACAAGCUAAUGUCACCUUUUUGGAACACCAACUUGUAUCAUGAUGAAGGAGCUCUGGACAUGCAAAAGUUUUCCCUCCAUUCCUCAAUGACAACAAUCCCAACCUGGAAAGAGUCCCACCAUCUGCUGAUUCAACCAGACCUGAUCCAAAACCAUAAUCUCUGGCUGACUUAAAACUGCGGAAGCUGAGGUGGAGCAAAAUCACUGGGUGCAGCAGAUGGCUCCGUUCGUCCGUGAAGUGGUGCAGCAAUACAGAGCUUAAGUGUAAAGUAGUUAUUGGACCAAGAAGUGCUAACCAAAUGAUAACAAACCGAGAUGCUUAGUACACAAAUCAACAAUGGGCAUGCGCAAAUAAGGGUGAUUAUGUCACUGAUUCCCAAGCGCUCUGUUUUACAUAACGCACAGAUAAAUGGCAACUGCAGUUUUGAAAAAUCUGCCCCUUAAAAUCUCCAUUUUAGUGACCCAAAACUCUUUUUACGUGUGUGUAGAGGAAAAUACCUGUUUACAAAAAUAUCUGUAUAUGUGAAAAGGCCUAAGUCUGCACGACCUUUAAUUGCAGUACAGUACAGAGUAUUUUACAUACAAUACAGCUCAUUGGUCACCUUUAUUUGCACAUUUAGAUUUUUAUCUCUUCAUUGUUCUUCACUCUAACAGGGAAUCGUUACUCCAAAUGCAGUUUCCCUUUAAUCAGAAAUGCUUAACAAAGAGUAAACAACAAAGUUAGCACAUGGUUUGGUUUAACUGACUUGGAACAUAUGGCAGCACAACAUUUAACAAGCCCGUGUCACCAUUAGUUAAAAUGUCCUGUCCCUGGGGGAAUGAAGUUAAUUCAAGAGUGAAUUUCGCAAUGUUCAUGAGAACAAGGGAGAAAACAUCCUGUAUCAGCAGCAUACUGUGCUUUCCUAAUCCUCUGUGAUUCAGUAAUGACACUCAGGACAUACCAUUCAUUUAUCUCUAACAUUAUGUGUAGUCAAUUAGAUUUAAAGGGAUAAGGAGGGAAAACUAAAACCGAUCAACCAGCAUGAAGGCCACCAAUUAGUUGAAUUUUUCAAUAAGAUCCCCCAUACAGCCGUUAAAUCUCGA